AUUUGGCCUCAAAUGAUUUGGCCCCUAUCUGAAACAGAAUGUGCACUUGCAUGUAGAAAAUAUAUUGGAAUGCAGAAAAUAUUGUUAUACUUUAAUCUGAACACAAAAAUUUCCCUGAAACAAUUAACAUACAUUGAGCCAUACAGUCAUGCACAUAGUUUUGACUGUCAGAUGUAUCAAGAAGCAUAGUGAGUUGCAUUCAUGGCCAAAGACAUAUUAGGUUAAUUAUUUUACAUAAUUAUUUUUCUUCAUUUGCCACGGCAUCUAAUCGGUGAAGGAUUCAGGAUUAUCCAGCAUGGAAAUAACGUUUUAAACGUGCUAUAUACAGUAAAAUGGUGUUCAAUAUUCAUACUACAUGAUAGGCAUAUGGCCAAACAAACACCUUGUGCUUUUUUGCUCAAAUUUACGCACGCAUGAUUUUGUAUACAUAAUACAGAUUUAAAUCUAGCAAUUCAAAUCCAAAACUCAUGGCGUCAUACAUGACAUCUAUCUAUAAUUUAUAUUUUCUUGAAAUGUUAGGUGAUUCAUUGUUAUUGCCGUUGUUGUAACCCAGUAAACAGACACACACCGCCGUUUAGACAUGUCACAUGUCGUUCUUGUUCCUUUUAAUCACAGUUAAUAGAAUAUUCUAUUAACUGUGUUUUAAUAUACAACAUACCAUGGACGAUAAAGCUUCGAAUUACUUCUCUUUAAUUUCCAGUCCGGCUUUGUCCAGUCUUUGAAGAGACUUCACAAGCGCGUGUUGAAACAGGUCAUCUGUACAAGAACCCAUGAAUCCAUGAUGUUUCGAAUCACAGCAACCACUUCGAGCACAUUUCGACUCGAUCAUGUUUACAUCAUACAUGAAAAUUGAUACAUAUGUAAUACGAAACCGAAAUAUGGUUGUAUUUUGACGAAUAUUAACGAUAUAACGAAAUAUAAAACCCCAAUAUGUAUAAUUCCAUUAGGUGAUCUGCACAUAUUCCCUUGAUGGUGGAAAAUACAUCGAAACAAAAGAAAAAUCCAAUAUUUUCUGCUCAUCAACACGUCUCCACUCCUCAGUAAAAAUUAG
Molecule: non-coding RNA, 1051 nt
Organism: Paramuricea clavata
Lineage: Eukaryota; Metazoa; Cnidaria; Anthozoa; Malacalcyonacea; Plexauridae
Source: the annotation of a GenBank genome assembly